RNAcentral lists this long non-coding RNA (241 nucleotides) under Phaseolus vulgaris (common bean). Its description in RNAcentral is "long non-coding RNA (PVUL_LNC002142)". Lineage: Eukaryota; Viridiplantae; Streptophyta; Magnoliopsida; Fabales; Fabaceae. The record is from RNAcentral.
UUGUGUUUGUCUUUACUUACAAAGCUCUUAACUAUAGUACAACUUCAGGUGUGUGGCGUUCCAGGUGCGAGGAAUCGCCCCUCCUUCCAGCGUCUCUAAGCGGUAGGCGCCGUUCCCGAGCGCCUCGGUUAUUCUGAACGGUCCAGUCCACUUGGGUGACAGUUUAUUCUCCAUCUCGUACUGGUGGGCCUUCCUCAUCACCAGAUCGCCUUCUCUAAACUGCCUUGGCAUCACCUUCGAG